UGGGGAAUAUUGCACAAUGGGCGCAAGCCUGAUGCAGCCAUGCCGCGUGUGUGAAGAAGGCCUUCGGGUUGUAAAGCACUUUCAGCGGGGAGGAAGGCGAUAAGGUUAAUAACCUUGUCGAUUGACGUUACCCGCAGAAGAAGCACCGGCUAACUCCGUGCCAGCAGCCGCGGUAAUACGGAGGGUGCAAGCGUUAAUCGGAAUUACUGGGCGUAAAGCGCACGCAGGCGGUCUGUCAAGUCGGAUGUGAAAUCCCCGGGCUCAACCUGGGAACUGCGUUCGAAACUGGCAGGCUAGAGUCUUGUAGAGGGGGGUAGAAUUCCAGGUGUAGCGGUGAAAUGCGUAGAGAUCUGGAGGAAUACCGGUGGCGACGGCGGCCCCCUGGACAAAGACUGACGCUCAGGUGCGAAAGCGUGGGGGGCAAACAGG
This 429-nucleotide ribosomal RNA is filed under the name Chloroflexota bacterium. RNAcentral describes it as "Chloroflexi bacterium partial 16S ribosomal RNA". It matches the Rfam family "Bacterial small subunit ribosomal RNA", at positions 355 to 776 of the family's 1533-position model. The record is from RNAcentral. Lineage: Bacteria; Bacillati; Chloroflexota.